GCGUUGCUGCUCCUUGCGUUAGGAAACCGCAUCCCUGGGGCCUUACGAUUCUAUAGGGAGCUGUCCCUGAUUAGACCCGUGGGUUUUUUCACACGGCACCCACCUGCUUUGCAGGCUCCCAGGAUCAACACUUUCCGACGAUUGCUGUGGCUUCGUC
RNAcentral lists this non-coding RNA (157 nucleotides) under Cohaesibacteraceae bacterium. RNAcentral describes it as "6S RNA". It matches the Rfam family "6S / SsrS RNA". Rfam says of the family: E. coli 6S RNA was the first non coding RNA to be sequenced, but its function was unknown until recently. It consists of 184 nucleotides that fold into an extended hairpin structure with a large single-stranded internal bulge. The record is from RNAcentral. Lineage: Bacteria; Pseudomonadati; Pseudomonadota; Alphaproteobacteria; Hyphomicrobiales; Cohaesibacteraceae.